This 425-nucleotide ribosomal RNA is filed under the name uncultured bacterium. Its description in RNAcentral is "partial 16S ribosomal RNA". It matches the Rfam family "Bacterial small subunit ribosomal RNA", at positions 354 to 796 of the family's 1533-position model. The record is from RNAcentral.
GUGGGGAAUCUUAGACAAUGGGCGCAAGCCUGAUCUAGCCAUGCCGCGUGAGCGAUGAAGGCCUUAGGGUUGUAAAGCUCUUUCGUGGGGGAAGAUAAUGACUGUACCCCAAGAAGAAGCCCCGGCUAACUCCGUGCCAGCAGCCGCGGUAAUACGGAGGGGGCUAGCGUUGUUCGGAAUUACUGGGCGUAAAGCGCACGUAGGCGGACUGGAAAGUCAGGGGUGAAAUCCCGGGGCUCAACCCCGGAAAUGCCUUUGAAACUCCCAGUCUUGAGUUCGGGAGAGGUGAGUGGAAUUCCGAGUGUAGAGGUGAAAUUCGUAGAUAUUCGGAGGAACACCAGUGGCGAAGGCGGCUCACUGGCUCGAUACUGACGCUGAGGUGCGAAAGCGUGGGGAGCAAACAGGAUUAGAAACCCGUGUAGUCC